Non-coding RNA from Arabis alpina (gray rockcress), 90 nucleotides. The record is from Rfam. NCBI's taxonomy places the organism in Eukaryota, Viridiplantae, Streptophyta, Magnoliopsida, Brassicales, Brassicaceae.
GGAUCCCAUCAGAACUCCGCAGUCAAGUGUGCUUGGGCGAGAGUAGUAGUAGGAUGGGUGACCUCCUGGGAAGUCCUCGUGUUGCACCCC